GGGCCCGCACAAGCGGUGGAUUAUGUGGUUUAAUUCGAUGAUACGCGAGGAACCUUACCAAGACUUAAAUGGGAAAUGACAGGUUUAGAAAUAGACCCUUCUUCGGACAUUUUUCAAGGUGCUGCAUGGUUGUCGUCAGCUCGUGCCGUGAGGUGUUAGGUUAAGUCCUGCAACGAGCGCAACCCCUGUCACUAGUUGCUAACAUUCAGUUGAGGACUCUAGUGAGACUGCCUACGCAAGUAGAGAGGAAGGUGGGGAUGACGUCAAAUCAUCACGGCCCUUACGUCUUGGGCCACACACGUAAUACAAUGGCCGGUACAGAGGGCAGCUACACAGCGAUGUGAUGCAAAUCUCGAAAGCCGGUCUCAGUUCGGAUUGGAGUCUGCAACUCGACUCUAUGAAGCUGGAAUCGCUAGUAAUCGCGCAUCAGCCAUGGCGCGGUGAAUACGUUCCCGGGCCUU
This 461-nucleotide ribosomal RNA is filed under the name uncultured bacterium. RNAcentral describes it as "bacterial SSU rRNA". It matches the Rfam family "Bacterial small subunit ribosomal RNA", at positions 917 to 1382 of the family's 1533-position model. The record is from RNAcentral.